Molecule: ribosomal RNA, 754 nt
Filed under: uncultured bacterium
Lineage: Bacteria
Description: bacterial SSU rRNA
Rfam family: Bacterial small subunit ribosomal RNA
Source: RNAcentral
GAUGAACGCUAGCGGCAGGCUUAACACAUGCAAGUCGAGGGGCAGCGCGGAGUAGCAAUACUCUGGCGGCGACCGGCGGAAGGGUGCGUAACACGUGAGCGACUUGCCCGUCACAGGGAGAUAACCGCUGGAAACGGCGACUAAUAUCCCAUAUGAUGGCGAUCUGCAUGGAUUGUCAUUGAAAGAUUCAUCGGUGACGGAUAGGCUCGCGGGGCAUUAGCUAGACGGCGGGGCAACGGCCCACCGUGGCGACGAUGCCUAGGGGUUCUGAGAGGAAGACCCCCCACACUGGGACUGAGACACGGCCCAGACUCCUACGGGAGGCAGCAGUGAGGAAUAUUGGUCAAUGGGCGGAAGCCUGAACCAGCCAUGCCGCGUGAAGGACUAAGGCCCUAUGGGUCGUAAACUUCUUUAGACGCAGAGCAAUAAGGGUCUCGUGAGAUCCGAUGAGAGUAUGCGUAGAAUAAGCAUCGGCUAACUCCGUGCCAGCAGCCGCGGUAAUACGGGGGAUGCGAGCGUUAUCCGGAUUUAUUGGGUUUAAAGGGUGCGUAGGCGGAAGUGCAAGUCAGCGGUGAAAUCCCCGCGCUCAACGCGGGAGUUGCCGUUGAUACUGUACAUCUGGAAUGCUCUUGCCGUGGGAGGAAUGAGUAGUGUAGCGGUGAAAUGCAUAGAUAUUACUCAGAACACCGAUUGCGAAGGCAUCUCACGAAGGGGCGAUUGACGCUGAGGCACGAAAGCGUGGGUAUCGAACAGG